UGUUAUUGUUAAUUGGGAUUUAUCAUUACUCUGUUAAUCACCGAGUUGAGCUAAAGUAAAUCAAUAGUAAAAUAUAAAUAAUAUAAAUAUAAGAAUAAAACCCCAAAGAGUAUGUUUAACACCCCUACUGGUUAGGAAGGAACAAGCCCCGCCUUCCCCUGCUCUGUACCGUCACGUGCUCAGACACAGAGAGAGACGGAGGUGCACGAGACCAUCGCUGAUUUUCACCGCCAAGCUUGUUGCUGGAAAAUAACUAUUAACUUGAUAAAUUGAGCAAAUAUCCAUACCGGAGAUCUGCAUGGACCUUGGAGAAACGGACCUGAUUUGUUGUGAACAUUUUGGACUUUGAAGCCAUCGCGUGUGAGUUGGAAGCUGUUAAGCUAACCUUGAAGCUAAAAAGCUAACAUGAAGUUAACGGAGAAUAUAAUGGCCCAAUUUCAACGUUGUAGAUCUGCACGGGUGCGGAUGAAGUGGACAAGAUCCUCUCUGAGAGUUGAACAUUAGAAGUGUGCUGGUUAGGGCUAGGUUUUUUCGUGGGAUCGUGAGACCUGGAUUUCUUCCUGACGAGGAAGAUGGCGAGCCUUUCCCUUUGAACCGAACCACAGCCAUUCCGAGUUGGCCCAGAAGGGCAGGUUGCUCUUCUUUCACGAACAAUUGCAACAGUGCGGUAGGACGAAAUCGCACCAAUCACAGACUUUUGACCUAUUGGAUUUGACUUGACUGAACACUGACUAUUAAGCCGGCAAGACUGACAUAUCUGAGCUCAGAUAGGAUUCUGAUUGUUAUUAUUAAUGCUGUCACUGUACUUUAUUUUAUGUUUUCAUUCCUGUUUAUGAAGUGCUGUUAAAUUGUUUCUUAAUAGUUUAAUAUAAUUCAAAGCAACUUUACCUGUGGCUCCACUCAUUCUUCUCCACGCAACUCACUUUAUCCCUCCUACGAAUCUAGCUAUUGGCCCAUUCUCUCCAUCUUGCUUUAACUUCCCCUACCCUAUCCUGUACUUGGCUACAUUGUCAUGUCAUGAUUGUCACACAUCUAAAAUAGCAGAUAAUAAUACCACUUUUGUUUUGAAGGUUACAGCAAGGAAUAACUUAGCUUAGGAUGAAAAUUUGAAGAAAAAAAAAUCACUGAUUGUGUGUAAGAGACAAAUGUAGCUAAAGCCCGUCUAGCAGCAAGUCUUGUAACAAAAUUAGCAGCUAUCUUGAAACAAGACCAGAUUAUUUUGGAGCCACUAUCUAAAUAAUGGAGAUGGAGGCAUAAUUUUAAUUUUGAUGGUCACUAACAGAUGAAAACUUCACAGUAACAUAAAUCAUGCUGAAUAAAAACUCUUCAAAAAGUCUGGACAAAAAGACCAAAAAACUUUUUUUUCCUCAUCAAGAUAUAGUUGUACAAUACAUGCGCACUGUUUCCCAACUAUUCAACUUCAUUUUGAGCUCGAUGCAAGGUGGACACCAUCCUGCUCAUGCCACAUGAGCACUUGAACAAAUCUAGUGCUGAAUGUGAAUCUCCACUGUUUGCAUGUGUAAUUGCAACAUCAUGAUGGACAAUAUGUGGAUAUAUAUUAGCGUUUUGCAGACACAUGAUUGCUAACCAACUGAGGUUAACUUAUUGGCCAUUUUGGGUGUUGAACAAUCAUGGUGUCAUUGUAGGAUCUUGUGUGGUCAUUUUACCUGUUUAGCGUUAUUGCUGGGCUAUCCUAAAAAGUAGCCAAACUGGGUUGGCAGGUUCGAAUUUUCAGCCAGUGCUAGUUACUUUGGUUAGCCGGCUGGAUCCAUCAACUGUAUGGAUGCAUUAGACAGGCAUAGAUACCUGCUAAGCAAUGCUUAGUAACAUUGACAGAAAACAUCUUCCUGAUUAGGUUGUCAGCAUUAAUGACACAGUGAACCACGUUUUUUGUUUUUUGUUUUUUAACUUUCAAAAAGCACCAAUGCUACAAACAUAGUUGAAAAGAUGCAGUUUAGUGACUCGAAUGAGCAGAAAUAUUACUUAGACAGCUCUAUCAGCCAGCUCUCUGUAAAACCUGCCCCAUACUUAAUAAUUGAUACAUUUAAGCAUUAAUACAAUAGGAAUUGGUACUUAUAAAAAUACAUUCCUCCCUCUACAGCAGUCCCAGCAGGGAAAGUGCCAGUUAUUAUUAUGUGUAAUUCAUUUUUUCUGUAUAGGUGGGCAUUUUAACACUGGGUCUUUGGGGAUUCACUCACUUUUGGAGCCAGCCUCAGGUAGACAUUUGAGGAACUGCAAUUUUUUGCCAUUUAAGCUUCAUUCUUCUUCCCAGGAGUUUGCUGCUUGCUGGAGAAACUGGGGGGGGGGGGGUAACCUGACUCUGUCCAAAGUCCAAAUCAUCACUUUUUAAUUUGUAUUUCAUCCUUUUUUUUAUUUGCCAUAAUAUGCAUAAAAUCGUAAAAAUGGUUAUUUGUGUUUUCUCAGUUAAAUAAAAGAGACUGUGAACAGCUCGUUACUUGUUGGAUCACUAUCUAUACUUAAAAAAAUGUUAAAAAAUUGAUUCAUGGAUUCAUUUGUGACUCCUCACUGGUCUUUAGUUCUGAUAGAGUUAAAGGAAGUGCUUUGAAAUCACUUAUGCAGGGAAAAAAAAGAAAAGAAAUCAUUCCCAGGCGUGACCCAUUUCAUUUUAAUGCCUGCUUGGCUACACUUUCCUACAUUGUGAUAUUUUUUUUCUUUUGAAACCAGGCUUCAAGGCAUAAAGAGCAGGAAACUGUAAGGAAUGAGUAACCAAGCUGUGGCCCGUGUCAUGCUGUCUCGCCUUAGCGGAUUGUAAUGAGAACUAUGCCCCUGCAUCAUAAUCACCGGUGACCCUCACGCUAAGACUUGAUUGGCUCCUCUGUGGCCUCCUGGGUGUCCUCUGAGCAAGGUCCUGACCGUCCACUGGUUCGGACCUGACCAGAAUAUUCAUGAAUGUGUAUGUUUGAAGGCAUGGAGGCUUAUAUUGGUUUGUCUAAAUAACCCAGGGUGCUGCUGCCAGGGGAGAAGACCAGGUCGAAGUGAUGGGUUUCUGAUGGAUGUGUUCAGCUUCUGCGUGUGUGUAUGUGUGUGGUUUGGUUUCUCUCCUAAACCAUCAAUGAGUUGAUAAACUAAUUUGGCUGGGAUUUGUCUUACCUGCCAAUACUGUGAACGCUCUUCAAGAAUCGAUGAAUAGAGGUUCAGGCACGACUCUUUCAGAGUGAACCUGCUUCCUCCGUGAUGCUGCUGUAUAAUGACAUCACGCUGCUGAGGGGAUUCGUGUAAACGGAACCAUAUGGCUGUGAGCACCUCUGCUUUCUGUCAACCUGUUAUUGCUCCCCACUACUCAUCUAAUGUGCACAUGCUUAGAUGCUCUGCCAUUGUUCUGAAUGUUAGCAAAGCGACUAUAGCUCAUACGGUAAUAUCACACCACCUGUCGGGAAGGUUAAUUGUUCCGAGGGAAACUCUCAGAGCUCAUUUUAUUCACUCUGUUGUUUUUAAUAUGUAUCUGUUUAUUGGCUGAAUGAAGAAAGUCGUGGUAUUUAGAUUUUGUAAUAGCAUGAAAUAGCAGGGGAUUCGUGCUGAAAUAAUUGUGUAUGUAUGUGUUCCCGUAUAUCAGUGUGUACUUUUAAUGCUCAUUAAAAUAUUCAUUAUUAUUUCUAUUUGAAUAUCGUUUACGAUCAUAAAGCUUCUGGUUGUUUCGUCUCUUCUCAUAAAGGCGGUAGACGCAUUAUUCGUGUUUUCCAAGGUUACACACAGCACCAAAAUUCCCACAGCCAUCACUGCAUUUGUUUUGCUGAGAGGAAUACAAAUGUGCUGUGUCUGGCACCCACAGAGAUGCUCUGAACCACAGUAGGAAUCACACAUCCAAACUACAUUUGAAUUUGCAAGUCUCUCUCCAGGCUGGAAACAACACCUCUGGGUCAUUUCUCUAUGAACAUUUUUUGACGGGCACGGAGGAAUGGAGUUAUGUUUUUGACAACUACAAACGCUACACCAACCCAUCCUGUCAUAAAAAUCUUUGACAUAUAUAAUUUAUUACUUACAUUUAUUAAGUUAAACAUAUGAAUAUGUGAUGUCUUAUAGUCAUUACUCACUCUGUUAUGUAGUGUCUUGACCAGCAUCAGAGGGACUUUAGCACAGUUGCCCCGUGGAGAACAUCCUAUCUCACACUUUUACCACGGUGUGGGAAUCGUAUCCUAUAAGUUAAAGCUGCAAUUUAGAUAAUUAAUAUCUUUUACAAAAGAUUUACAAAAGUAUUGCAACCAAUAAAUUGUAUGAACUGUUUACCCACAAAGUCUGCACACAAGCGAAAAAUGAACAGUUUCUCAAAUUAAGGCGUGUCCUUUCUGUGAGAGGCUUUAAGCAGUGACCCGGCCAGGACAACAAAUACAAACACAGAAUCACCCAGAUACACCUGAAAAACUGUACAAGCGAUUGAACACAACAGCCAGAUCAUCACUGGGUACUUUUCACUUCCUUAUAUCGUUGUUUAUGUGUAUGUUCUGAAAUCCCUCAGCUUCUGUUUCAGGUCACACUGAUGAUGAUGAUGAUGAUGGCUCAUAGCAAACACACGUGUCUGACACAAAUGUGAACAUUAAGAAGCAGCAUCAAACUGUGAUGACUACAGAUGAUGUCAUCUCUGUAUAACUACCAGGAACAAAGUGCAGCUUCUUUCUUGUGUCACUUGUAUAUUUUUCUUCCAAAACUGAGCGCUAUCAUUGUGUUCCCAUGGCAGCGGCUCAGAUAAAGACCAUGGUGAACCAGCUGGGGACCAGACAGGACACCAGUGAACUGCAGGAUCGGCUGCAGCAGACACAACACUACACCAACCAACUGGCAAAAGAAACCAACAAACACCUGAAAGAGCUGGGAUCAAUCCCUCUGCCCUCAUCGCCUUCAGAGCAA
Oreochromis niloticus (Nile tilapia) is the source of this 4863-nucleotide long non-coding RNA. RefSeq lists it as uncharacterized. NCBI's taxonomy places the organism in Eukaryota, Metazoa, Chordata, Actinopteri, Cichliformes, Cichlidae. The transcript is spliced from 3 exons. The record is from RefSeq and is a predicted model, not a curated record.